AUUGAACGCUGGCGGCAUGCCUUACACAUGCAAGUCGAACGGUAGAGGGGGCAACCCCCUCGAGAGUGGCGAACGGGUGAGUAAUAUAUCGGAACGUGCCCAGUCGUGGGGGAUAACGUAGCGAAAGUUACGCUAAUACCGCAUACGAUCUACGGAUGAAAGCGGGGGACUCGCAAGAGCCUCGCGCGAUUGGAGCGGCCGAUAUCAGAUUAGGUAGUUGGUGGGGUAAAGGCUCACCAAGCCAACGAUCUGUAGCUGGUCUGAGAGGACGACCAGCCACACUGGAACUGAGACACGGUCCCAGACUCCUACGGGAGGCAGCAGUGGGGAAUUUUGGACAAUGGGGGGCAACCCUGAUCCAGCCAUGCCGCGUGAGUGAAGAAGG
Molecule: ribosomal RNA, 385 nt
Filed under: uncultured bacterium
Lineage: Bacteria
Description: bacterial SSU rRNA
Rfam family: Bacterial small subunit ribosomal RNA
Source: RNAcentral